This is a long non-coding RNA of Dreissena polymorpha, 207 nucleotides long. RefSeq lists it as uncharacterized. The record is from RefSeq and is a predicted model, not a curated record. The transcript has 2 exons. NCBI's taxonomy places the organism in Eukaryota, Metazoa, Mollusca, Bivalvia, Myida, Dreissenidae.
UGUGUUUUAUUUCAUAUAUGGAAUUUAUAUUGUUGCAUUAUUUUUUUACAUAGUAUAGAUAUUGACAAUCAUUCGCCAUGUGUUGGUGAUAAUGUCAUGUUAUAAAUUAUGUCGUUGUAUUCAGUGUAACAAGUGUAUGCUUAUCUGUAGCGUUAAUUAUUUUGAAGAGAACAUAAAAAGUAAAUGAAUAAAUAUUAUAUUAUAUGA